GGAUGUAAGGGCGAUCUGGCUGCGACAUCUGUCACCCCAUUGAUCGCCAGGGUUGAUUCCGCUAAUCUGGCUGGCUAGGCGGGUGUCCCCUUCCUCCCUCACCGCUCCAUGUGCGUCCCUCCCGAAGCUGCGCCCUCGGUCAAAGAGGACGACCUUCCCUGAUAGAGGAGAGGACCGUUCUUCGGUCAAGGGUAUAGGAGUAGCUGCGCUUCCCUGCUAAAACCUCCAAACAAGCUCUCAAAAUUUACCAUGAUUCUAAUUUGUUUCCUAUCCUUAAGGUGAGAUCAAAUGAAGAAGUAAACAGAUAUCUAACAAUUAACUUUUAAAAUUACCAUACUAAAAAUAGAUUUAUUUUUUUUU
Mustela putorius furo (domestic ferret) is the source of this 360-nucleotide non-coding RNA. Lineage: Eukaryota; Metazoa; Chordata; Mammalia; Carnivora; Mustelidae. The record is from Rfam.